Long non-coding RNA from Clupea harengus (Atlantic herring), 814 nucleotides. RefSeq lists it as uncharacterized. The record is from RefSeq and is a predicted model, not a curated record. The transcript is spliced from 3 exons. Lineage: Eukaryota; Metazoa; Chordata; Actinopteri; Clupeiformes; Clupeidae.
CCCGUGUACCAGACAAGGAACUAACCUCCUAACUUAGCCUCCUUGAGUUCUUUCAAUUGGGUGUGUGCAUGUUUGCAUGUGUACAAGUAUACUAGUCUGUGUGCUUGUAUUCAAGUCCUAUGUGUUUGUGUGUGCCUAGCGGUUGUAGUUACCGGGCAGAAGAGUGUGUGCCAAGGAUCUUUCAUGUGCAGUCGCACUACGAGCGGCACAAGGAGCAAUAGCAACAUUUUGAAAGAUGGCACAAUGUUGCUUCUAAUUUUCAUUGUUAGGAGGAUUUUUGUACAAACACUGAAUCAUUUUCCGAUGACUUCACCCUGAUAUGGCUUGGUAGUAGGCUUCUUUUUUUUAAAAUCCAGUCUGUGAACUGCUCUCCAAUAGGAACGCAACCACUAGGGGCGUAGGUUUUCACUUUACAUAGGGAGGUGCUAAUGUUCAUGAUUGUUCAUGACGCAGAACAGAUAAAAACGAAAGUAAGGUUUUAACAGAGAAUGACUGCAUGCAAGAACGUGUCCAUCGUUUUUCUAUGAGGGGAUGAGUGUGGAACUGUGACUAAAACCUCAACAUCCAAAUCUCAUCCAUAUGCUUGAUAUAAGGGAGGAUAUCAGUCAGUUCCCAGCUGUGUGUCUAUGAAGAGUGACUGGUCCAUGGCAGACCCGCCCAAUUUCAGCAGUGGGUCACCACAGUCUGAUCCCAAACCACAGACACAUAGACCAGUGUCUCCAGUGCCCAGCUGUGUGUCUAUGAAGAGUGACCGGUCCAUGGGACACCCUCUCAAUUUCAGCAGUGGACCACCACAGUCUGAUCCAAAGUGAGU